Molecule: microRNA, 21 nt
Filed under: Homo sapiens (human)
Lineage: Eukaryota; Metazoa; Chordata; Mammalia; Primates; Hominidae
Description: hsa-miR-5587-3p
Source: miRBase by way of RNAcentral
GCCCCGGGCAGUGUGAUCAUC